Molecule: ribosomal RNA, 253 nt
Filed under: uncultured bacterium
Lineage: Bacteria
Description: partial 16S ribosomal RNA
Rfam family: Bacterial small subunit ribosomal RNA
Source: RNAcentral
UACGUAGGGGGCAAGCGUUGUCCGGAAUCAUUGGGCGUAAAGCGCGCGUAGGCGGCCCGGUAAGUCCGUUGUGAAAGUCAAAGGCUCAACCUUUGAACGCCGAUGGAUACUGCCGGGCUAGAGUCCGGAAGAGGCGAGUGGAAUUCCUGGUGUAGCGGUGGAAUGCGCAGAUAUCAGGAGGAACACCAAUAGCGAAGGCAGCUCGCUGGGACGGUACUGACGCUGAGGCGCGACAGCGUGGGGAGCAAACAGG